This 499-nucleotide ribosomal RNA is filed under the name uncultured bacterium. RNAcentral describes it as "partial 16S ribosomal RNA". It matches the Rfam family "Bacterial small subunit ribosomal RNA", at positions 28 to 507 of the family's 1533-position model. The record is from RNAcentral.
GACGAACGCUGGCGGCGUGCCUAAUACAUGCAAGUCGAGCGAAGUUUUUCUGGUGCUUGCACCGGAAAAACUUAGCGGCGAACGGGUGAGUAACACGUAAAGAACCUGCCUCAUAGACUGGGACAACUAUUGGAAACGAUAGCUAAUACCGGAUAAUAGCAUUAACUGCAUGGUUGAUGUUUAAAAGUUGGUUUUGCUAACACUAUGAGAUGGCUUUGCGGUGCAUUAGCUAGUUGGUGGGGUAAAGGCCUACCAAGGCGACGAUGCAUAGCCGACCUGAGAGGGUGAUCGGCCACACUGGGACUGAGACACGGCCCAGACUCCUACGGGAGGCAGCAGUAGGGAAUCUUCCGCAAUGGGCGAAAGCCUGACGGAGCAGCGCCGCGUGAGUGAAGAAGGAUUUCGGUUCGUAAAGCUCUGUUGUUAGGGAAGAAUGAUUGUGUAGUAACUAUACACAGUAGAGACGGUACCUAACCAGAAAGCCACGGCUAACUACGUG